ACUUCACCCUUGUCUAAGCAAUACCUACAGUUUAUCUUUCAUCUUAUAGCUCUUCUUGUCUAGCUACAAGUGUCUCUCAUUAUUAAUAUCUCAAUUCCCAAUUGUUUCAUGAGCCACACCCACUUCUCCAAAUGGGUGGGUGGCUUCACUCGCUCUUCUCUCCUUUGAAGAAGCUCUGGUUUCGCCUCCAUUCUGCUCAAAAAAAAAGAAGAGGGAUAUACAUUCUGUAUGAGGAUGUAAAAUCAUGCCCCUACGAGGAUGUGCAUGUUUUGUGGUCGAUACUAGUGGAGUCACAUACACAUACAUUGCCUUCUUUGCCAGCUCCUAAAGCUUGAAGGCUGUAUACGACAGAUUCCCAGCUUCCACGUAUACAGUAUUUAUACAUGUAUUUUAAUACUCUGUGUUCAAUGUAAAAAGGUGUUUUCCUACUUUUUUGGUUCUUAAUUUACCUGUAAAUGUAUUGCACUAAAAUAUGGCUUUCAUAUAUAUAGGAGUUUUUGUGUGGUUCCCAAUCUGAUUUA
This is a long non-coding RNA of Rosa chinensis, 521 nucleotides long. RefSeq lists it as uncharacterized. The transcript has 2 exons. The record is from RefSeq and is a predicted model, not a curated record. Lineage: Eukaryota; Viridiplantae; Streptophyta; Magnoliopsida; Rosales; Rosaceae.